This 1938-nucleotide long non-coding RNA is filed under the name Mytilus galloprovincialis (Mediterranean mussel). The record is from RNAcentral. Lineage: Eukaryota; Metazoa; Mollusca; Bivalvia; Mytilida; Mytilidae.
UAAAUAUCCAAGUAUUCUCAAACUAUUAAAGGGCGUAUAUGGAACAUGCAUGCAAUUUCUAGAAUAUACAAAUCGGUCGGGAUAUUAUCCAUAUUACAUUUCAAUAAAAAUCCAUCGUAUACGUAUAGAAACAGGUGUGUCACGCAUAUCUGUUGUAGACUGUUCUUGCUGCAGGGAAGUUGUAAUAUCUGAUCAAAGAUGAGGAUUCUUUUAAUUAUUGUUGUGAUUUUUGCUUUCUUGGCUUUGAUUGAUGGUAAGGAUGAAACUUAAGAUAUAUGCACUUAUAAUUUAAAAGUACACUAGAUGUCUUAAAAUGCAUUGUAAAAAAAAACCAACGUAGUGCAUUUACUGGUUGCAUAAGGCAAAUGAAAAAAUGUUGGCCGUUCAAGUUCAAAUAUCUGCUUGAAUAUGUAAUAAAGUUUAAAAGAUGUUUAAAUUGCUUUAUCAGUCUUGUUUAGAAAUAUUUGGAUAUUAUACCUUAUAAUUUCUUUUCUGAAUUUGUAACAAGAAACUAGAUAAAAAGACAUUAAAUAAAGGCAACAGUAGUAUACCGCUGUUCAAAAGUCAUAUUAAAUCGAUUGAGAGAAAACAAAUCCAGGUUACAAGCUAAAUCCGAGGGAAACUAUAAAAGGCAAACAACGGAACAACAGAAACACUGUAGUACAACAAAAACAAACGACAAUGCAACACACACAGAAAUGAACUAUGGGAUAACAAUUGACGUGUUCCAGUCUUGGAACAGGACAUUUUAAGAAACAUCGGUGGGUUGCCCCUGGUUUUGGAUUAUUCUCAUUAUACAAGUACAAAAUAAGAUAAGCUAGAUUUAGAAAGCAUUUUUCACGUGAGCACAAACCCGUCGAUUUGCCUAUCUAAACUCCGUCAUUAAACUUAAGACACACAAUAAAGCAUUAGAAAAAAAAAUCGGGUUAGUAUCCAAUUUUAAUUGCAAUAAUCCAAGAACUACAACGUAGGUUGAAUGCUCUGUCUUUAUGCAAUCUGAUAACACCUGUUGUGUAUAAUUGUGUAUAAUCAAUUGAAUUGAUAUUUUUUACUAAUCAUUGUAGUUCUUUUCUUUUCAUUUUAUUCUGUUUCAGCUCAGGCAAAAGUGAAGGCUAAAAGUAAGUAUAUAUGUCUUAUGUUGCACACAAAUAUAGUAUAACAUCAUUACGAUAGAACACACCAACGAAAAAGGAUCUUGCAGGCCAGUAUUCAUUUACAUAUGCAACAAAUCUUGUAUUUGUCAAAUCAUAAAAUGGCCAAUUCCUAAUUUCAAAAUAUGUUAUACUCGCUGCAUUGCAGACCUGUUGGUGAGUGACCUUCUGCUGUUGUCUGUUCUAUGGUCGGGUUGUUGUCUCUUUGACACAUUCCCCAUUUCCAAUCUCAAUGUUAUAGAUCUUACAAGCCGGAUUUUCAUCAUGGGACGACCAUUUCUAUAUCUGGGUUUGGGGGGCGGGAUUUUUUUUUUUUGGAUUGACUAUUCAUUCUGAACUAUUUCUGCGUAUGCUUACCCUUUUGUACACUAUUGAUUCCCGUAUAUCGAAAGGUCAUCGCUAAACAACAAGAAUUUUUUAGUGUGUCAAGAUAUUGUAUUAAAAAAAAAUACUGAUUAUCAUUAGAAAUAUAUCAAACAAAGUUACUAAGCAAUUACAUGUAUUUUUUUUUUAUUUCAGCAUGCAUUACCAAAUGUACAAAGAACAUGCUUGGCUACUUCCAGUCAUGCGAUUCUUGUGAAGCCUACGUCACCUGUGUUUUCAGAGUAAAAUAUGAUCGGAAAUGUCCAGGGACACUUAAGUGGAACGACAAAACCAAGGAAUGCGACUUCAUAACACCAACCUGCGAAAAGAUUUGAUUGACAUUUACAAUAAAGCAAAAUUCUUUGAAAGCAUUUAUCUCUUAUUUUUAUUUACAUCCAAAUGCAGGUUUUCGGUUGUUGUGUGG